RNAcentral lists this ribosomal RNA (119 nucleotides) under Pteropus alecto (black flying fox). The record is from RNAcentral. Lineage: Eukaryota; Metazoa; Chordata; Mammalia; Chiroptera; Pteropodidae.
GUCUACGGCCAUGGUACCCUGAAUGUGCCCGAUCCCGUCUGAUCUCGGAAACUAAGCAGGGUCGGGCCUGGUGAGUACUUGGAUGGGAGACCACCUAGGAAGACCAGGUGCCGUAGGCA